Molecule: ribosomal RNA, 467 nt
Filed under: uncultured bacterium
Lineage: Bacteria
Description: partial 16S ribosomal RNA
Rfam family: Bacterial small subunit ribosomal RNA
Source: RNAcentral
UCCCAGACUCCUACGGGAGGCAGCAGUGAGGAAUAUUGGUCAAUGGGCUUACGCCUGAACCAGCCAAGUCGCGUGAGGGAAGACUGCCCUAUGGGUUGUAAACCUCUUUUGUCAGGGAGCAAUUGGCGCUACGUGUAGCGUUAUCGAGAGUACCUGAAGAAAAAGCACCGGCUAACUCCGUGCCAGCAGCCGCGGUAAUACGGAGGGUGCGAGCGUUAUCCGGAUUUACUGGGUGUAAAGGGAGCGCAGGCGGCACGGCAAGCCUGAUGUGAAAGCCCGCGGCCCAACCGCGGGACUGCAUUGGGAACUGCCGGGCUGGAGUGCCGGAGAGGUAGGCGGAAUUCCUAGUGUAGCGGUGAAAUGCGUAGAUAUUAGGAGGAACACCAGUGGCGAAGGCGGCCUACUGGACGGUGACUGACGCUGAGGCUCGAAAGCGUGGGGAGCAAACAGGAUUAGAUACCCCGGUA